AGAGUUUGAUCCUGGCUCAGAACGAACGCUGGCGGCAGGCUUAACACAUGCAAGUCGAGCGCCUCGCAAGAGGAGCGGCAGACGGGUGAGUAACGCGUGGGAAUCUACCCAUCUCUACGGAACAACUCCGGGAAACUGGAGCUAAUACCGUAUACGUCCUUCGGGAGAAAGAUUUAUCGGAGAUGGAUGAGCCCGCGUUGGAUUAGCUAGUUGGUGGGGUAAUGGCCUACCAAGGCGACGAUCCAUAGCUGGUCUGAGAGGAUGAUCAGCCACAUUGGGACUGAGACACGGCCCAAACUCCUACGGGAGGCAGCAGUGGGGAAUAUUGGACAAUGGGGGCAACCCUGAUCCAGCAAUGCCGCGUGUGUGAAGAAGGCCUUCGGGUUGUAAAGCACUUUAGGCGGGGAAGAAGAUGCGUAUUUUAAGAGAUAACGUAUU
Molecule: ribosomal RNA, 438 nt
Filed under: uncultured bacterium
Lineage: Bacteria
Description: bacterial SSU rRNA
Rfam family: Bacterial small subunit ribosomal RNA
Source: RNAcentral